RNAcentral lists this ribosomal RNA (164 nucleotides) under Ficus semicordata var. semicordata. RNAcentral's name for it is "5.8S ribosomal RNA". It matches the Rfam family "5.8S ribosomal RNA". Rfam says of the family: 5.8S ribosomal RNA (5.8S rRNA) is a component of the large subunit of the eukaryotic ribosome. It is transcribed by RNA polymerase I as part of the 45S precursor that also contains 18S and 28S rRNA. Functionally, it is thought that 5.8S rRNA may be involved in ribosome translocation. Lineage: Eukaryota; Viridiplantae; Streptophyta; Magnoliopsida; Rosales; Moraceae. The record is from RNAcentral.
GAACGACUCUCGGCAACGGAUAUCUCGGCUCUCGCAUCGAUGAAGAACGGUAGCGAAAUGCGAUACUUGGUGUGAAUUGCAGAAUCCCGUGAACCAUCGAGUCUUUGAACGCAAGUUGCGCCCGAAGCCAUCAGGUCGAGGGCACGUCUGCCUGGGCGUCACAC